RNAcentral lists this transfer RNA (74 nucleotides) under Thermoanaerobacteraceae bacterium. RNAcentral describes it as "tRNA-Thr". It matches the Rfam family "tRNA". Rfam says of the family: Transfer RNA (tRNA) molecules are approximately 80 nucleotides in length. Their secondary structure includes four short double-helical elements and three loops (D, anti-codon, and T loops). Further hydrogen bonds mediate the characteristic L-shaped molecular structure. tRNAs have two regions of fundamental functional importance: the anti-codon, which is responsible for specific mRNA codon recognition, and the 3' end, to which the tRNAs corresponding amino acid is attached (by aminoacyl-tRNA synthetases). tRNAs cope with the degeneracy of the genetic code in two manners: having more than one tRNA (with a specific anti-codon) for a particular amino acid; and 'wobble' base-pairing, i.e. permitting non-standard base-pairing at the 3rd anti-codon position. Lineage: Bacteria; Bacillati; Bacillota; Clostridia; Thermoanaerobacterales; Thermoanaerobacteraceae. The record is from RNAcentral.
GCUGAUGUAGUUUAAUGGUAGAACAAGUGCUUCGUAAGCAUUAGGUUUGGGUUCAAAUCCCAACUUCAGCCCCA